Molecule: ribosomal RNA, 447 nt
Filed under: uncultured bacterium
Lineage: Bacteria
Description: bacterial SSU rRNA
Rfam family: Bacterial small subunit ribosomal RNA
Source: RNAcentral
UCGGGAAUUUUGGGCAAUGGGCGAAAGCCUGACCCAGCAACGCCGCGUGAAGGAUGAAGUCUCUCGGGAUGUAAACUUCGUAAGAAUAGGAAGAAUAAAUGACGGUACUAUUUGUAAGGUCCGGCUAACUACGUGCCAGCAGCCGCGGUAAUACGUAGGGACCAAGCGUUGUUCGGAUUUACUGGGCGUAAAGGGCGCGUAGGCGGCGUGGUAAGUCACUUGUGAAAUCUCCGAGCUUAACUCGGAACGGUCAAGUGAUACUGCUGUGCUAGAGUACAGAAGGGGCAAUCGGAAUUCUUGGUGUAGCGGUGAAAUGCGUAGAUAUCAAGAGGAACACCUGAGGCGAAGGCGAGUUGCUAGGCUGACACUGACGCUGAGGUACGAAAGCUAGGGGAGCGAACGGGAUUAGAUACCCCUGUAGUCCCUGAGCGGGCUGGCAAGGCGCAU